GGUGAUGAAUUUGAAAUGCACUGACCUGGGCCUUCUGUCAAUCAGCUCCCUGCCAUGGAGACCUGACAGAGUCUCAUUCAUGACUGCCACAACAGAGACACUGAGAAAAAGAUGCAACCAUGAAAAGGUGGCAAGUUCUAACGACAUAGAAAAUAGCAAUCAGCCUUUCUUAUAUCUGAAAGCCUUCCAAAAUAUCUGAGUGCAGUAGAGAAUUGACAGAGGACUGAUCACCAUCCUAGAAACAUGGUGAGAGGGAAAAAAAAACUGCAAGAAUAUAAUCAUCUCCCAUCAAUUGUCCAAGAGAAAUAACGUAGUCCUUGAAGAAACAAUUAUAGAGUACCUCAUGCUACAUGCCUGUUCCUGACGCUCCCCCAUGUAAAAUAACAUCAUCUUCAUUCCUUCUUUUCUUUUCUUUCCAUGACAGCUCCUCCAGGAAUAGGACGUCUUCCUCUCCUUAAUCCAAUAUAGCAGCCGUGAUGUCAUUUCUGUAUUUCAGGAAGACUGGCAGGAGAUUUAUGGAAAAGACUCUGACAAGGACUCUUGAAUACAAGCUCCGGAUAACUUCAAGAUCAUACCACUGGACUAAGGGCUUUCAAAAUUUUAAUGAACAGGCUGAUACCUUCAUGAAAUUCAAGACAAAGAAGAAAAAAACUCAAUGUUAUUGGACUAAAUAAUCAAAAGCAUAAUGUUUUCAUAAUUUUCUAUUUGAAAAUGUGCUGAUUCUUUGAAUGUUUUAUUCUCCAGAUUUAUGAACUUUUUUUCUUCAGCAAUUGGUAAAGUAUACUUUUGUAAACAAAAAUUGAAACAUUUGCUUUUGUUCUCUGAGUGCCCCAGAAUUGGGAAACUAUUCAUGAGUAUUCAUAUGUUU
Molecule: small RNA, 868 nt
Filed under: Pan troglodytes (chimpanzee)
Lineage: Eukaryota; Metazoa; Chordata; Mammalia; Primates; Hominidae
Description: retained intron
Source: RNAcentral